CAUCGAAAUGUCAUUUAGCUUUCACCCUCAUUCCUCGACGGACUACGUGGAGCUCCGCAUAUAAGCCGCUGCCGGUACAUACUCCAUCCACCUCCGCAUCUAAGGCUCCACCGGUAUCGGCCUCGUAGGCACAUACUCCUCCCACCGACACAUUCUAAGCCUCCAUCGAUGGACACGCCGCCAACCUAUGCUACUCCGACACAUACUCCAUCCAUCGAUGAGGCUCCACCGACAUCCACGCCAUGCGAUCUCAAUGAGAGAAGUCGCCACAUGUGUGGAACCGUAAGCAUCAGGUUAUGAUGGAGUAUGACAUGGAGGGAAACCCAGUAGGAGAGAAUGCACGAGAGAUGCAUUCCUUCUUCGGUGUGCUUGUGAGGCGGUCCGACAUCAUUACCAUACUGUCUAUAGACUGGAAAUUAAUGGACACUAGUGUCAAAGACCGGGUGUGGGAAGAGGUUUGAAGAAGGUAUAAUUUUUCAAAUCAUGAGAGGACAUGAGAUGUCCGACUAUAGAAGACUAAAGAGUUGUACCGAAACUAUAAGGUCAAGCUCCACAAAGGAUGGCUAGAUCAUCGUAAGGACAC
Elaeis guineensis (African oil palm) is the source of this 583-nucleotide long non-coding RNA. RefSeq lists it as uncharacterized. NCBI's taxonomy places the organism in Eukaryota, Viridiplantae, Streptophyta, Magnoliopsida, Arecales, Arecaceae. The record is from RefSeq and is a predicted model, not a curated record.